This 1966-nucleotide ribosomal RNA is filed under the name Listeria monocytogenes. RNAcentral describes it as "partial 23S ribosomal RNA". It matches the Rfam family "Bacterial large subunit ribosomal RNA", at positions 964 to 2925 of the family's 2925-position model. The record is from RNAcentral. Lineage: Bacteria; Bacillati; Bacillota; Bacilli; Caryophanales; Listeriaceae.
CAUGUACUUAUACUCGGGAGUCAGACUGCGAGUGAUAAGAUCCGUAGUCGAAAGGGAAACAGCCCAGACCACCAGUUAAGGUCCCCAAAUAUAUGUUAAGUGGAAAAGGAUGUGGGGUUGCUUAGACAACCAGGAUGUUGGCUUAGAAGCAGCCACCAUUGAAAGAGUGCGUAAUAGCUCACUGGUCGAGUGACCCCGCGCCGAAAAUGUACCGGGGCUAAACAUAUUACCGAAACUGUGGAUGAACCUCUUUAGAGGUUCGUGGUAGGAGAGCGUUCUAAGGGCGGUGAAGUCAGACCGGAAGGACUGGUGGAGCGCUUAGAAGUGAGAAUGCCGGUAUGAGUAGCGAAAGAAGGGUGAGAAUCCCUUCCACCGAAUAUCUAAGGUUUCCUGAGGAAGGCUCGUCCGCUCAGGGUUAGUCGGGACCUAAGCCGAGGCCGAUAGGCGUAGGCGAUGGACAACAGGUAGAGAUUCCUGUACCAGUGCUAAUUGUUUAACCGAUGGGGUGACACAGAAGGAUAGGGAAUCGCACGAAUGGAAAUGUGCGUCCAAGCAGUGAGUGUGAGAAGUAGGCAAAUCCGCUUCUCGCGAAGCAUGAGCUGUGAUGGGGAAGGAAAUUAAGUACGGAAGUUCCUGAUUUCACGCUGUCAAGAAAAGCCUCUAGGAAGAGUAGUACUGCCCGUACCGCAAACCGACACAGGUAGAUGAGGAGAGAAUCCUAAGGUGAGCGAGAGAACUCUCGUUAAGGAACUCGGCAAAAUGACCCCGUAACUUCGGGAGAAGGGGUGCUCUAUUAGGGUGCAAGCCCGAGAGAGCCGCAGUGAAUAGGCCCAGGCGACUGUUUAGCAAAAACACAGGUCUCUGCAAAACCGUAAGGUGACGUAUAGGGGCUGACGCCUGCCCGGUGCUGGAAGGUUAAGAGGAGUGCUUAGCUUCGGCGAAGGUACGAAUUGAAGCCCCAGUAAACGGCGGCCGUAACUAUAACGGUCCUAAGGUAGCGAAAUUCCUUGUCGGGUAAGUUCCGACCCGCACGAAAGGCGCAACGAUCUGGGCACUGUCUCAACGAGAGACUCGGUGAAAUUAUAGUACCUGUGAAGAUGCAGGUUACCCGCGACAGGACGGAAAGACCCCGUGGAGCUUUACUGCAACCUGAUAUGGAAUGUUUGUACCGCUUGUACAGGAUAGGUAGGAGCCGAAGAGACGUGUGCGCUAGCAUACGAGGAGGCAAUGGUGGGAUACUACCCUGGCUGUAUGACCAUUCUAACCCGCCACGCUUAGCGCGUGGGGAGACAGUGUCAGGUGGGCAGUUUGACUGGGGCGGUCGCCUCCUAAAGAGUAACGGAGGCGCCCAAAGGUUCCCUCAGAAUGGAUGGAAAUCAUUCGCAGAGUGUAAAGGCACAAGGGAGCUUGACUGCGAGACUGACAAGUCGAGCAGGGACGAAAGUCGGGCUUAGUGAUCCGGUGGUUCCGCAUGGAAGGGCCAUCGCUCAACGGAUAAAAGCUACCCCGGGGAUAACAGGCUUAUCUCCCCCAAGAGUCCACAUCGACGGGGAGGUUUGGCACCUCGAUGUCGGCUCGUCGCAUCCUGGGGCUGUAGUCGGUCCCAAGGGUUGGGCUGUUCGCCCAUUAAAGCGGCACGCGAGCUGGGUUCAGAACGUCGUGAGACAGUUCGGUCCCUAUCCGUCGCGGGCGCAGGAAAUUUGAGAGGAGCUGUCCUUAGUACGAGAGGACCGGGAUGGACACACCGCUGGUGUACCAGUUGUUCCGCCAGGAGCAUCGCUGGGUAGCUAUGUGUGGCAGGGAUAAACGCUGAAAGCAUCUAAGCGUGAAGCCCCCCUCAAGAUGAGAUUUCCCAUUUCUUCGGAAAGUAAGAUCCCUGAAAGAUGAUCAGGUAGAUAGGUUUGGAGUGGAAGUGUAGCGAUACAUGGAGCGGACAAAUACUAAUCGAUCGAGGACUUAACCAAAA